AUGGCUAAACGAUACAAAGUGAUAGGUAGCUCUCAUACAAUUUCGAUCAUAGACUACUCGUAUCACGCGGACACGACUAGGUCACUGAAAGAGAGCAUAGAAGGAUCCGAGUACAAAGCCACACCAUGCCCUAAUGGUCAGGCAUAUGGCUACUUCAAUAGCAGUAUAGAUAUCAGGCAAGGCUGUCCUCUCUCUCCUUAUCUAUUCGUCCUUGCUAUCAAUGAAUUGUCCAUAUCCCUUCAAGAAGCCAUGACCAACAACUAUCUUUUUGGUAUCUCUUUUGGCCCUAAUUGUCCUUCCAUACACUCUUUUAUAUUUGCUUGCGAUCCUCUAAUCUAUGGGAAGGCUUCAAUCAAUGAGGCAAAUCACAUGCCCCAAAUUCUACAACAUUUCUUGAUGCUUUUGGCCAAAUCCCCGAUUGGAAAAAUUCCGGUAUCAUUUUCAAUAGAGGUGUGUCUAAUCACAUUAAGAAUGGAAUUAAGCACAUUUUUCAUGCUCAUGACAUCAAUGAACAUUACAUUCAUUUUGGACACCCCUUAA
This 540-nucleotide ribosomal RNA is filed under the name Triticum aestivum (bread wheat). RNAcentral describes it as "partial small subunit ribosomal RNA". The record is from RNAcentral. Lineage: Eukaryota; Viridiplantae; Streptophyta; Magnoliopsida; Poales; Poaceae.